RNAcentral lists this small nuclear RNA (154 nucleotides) under Echeneis naucrates (live sharksucker). RNAcentral's name for it is "U12 minor spliceosomal RNA (ENSENLG00000016415.1)". It matches the Rfam family "U12 minor spliceosomal RNA". From Rfam's summary of the family: Although the U12 sequence is very divergent from that of U2, the two are functionally analogous. The record is from Rfam by way of RNAcentral. Lineage: Eukaryota; Metazoa; Chordata; Actinopteri; Carangiformes; Echeneidae.
AUGCCUUAAACUGAUGAGUAAGGAAAAUAACGACCCGGGGUGACGCCCGUGUCCUCGUUCACAUCACGAGAUGAAUUUUUGAACGGGUACAGGUCUGCCGGCUCAGGUGACUCGCCUACUUCGCGAGAUGCCUCUCUGGACCAGGACCUAUCCC